This is a long non-coding RNA of Hylaeus volcanicus, 366 nucleotides long. RefSeq lists it as uncharacterized. The record is from RefSeq and is a predicted model, not a curated record. The transcript has 3 exons. NCBI's taxonomy places the organism in Eukaryota, Metazoa, Arthropoda, Insecta, Hymenoptera, Colletidae.
UAUUAGUCUUUUUUCCAAUAGCGAACUAAUUAGCAAGUUUAUUCCAAAAACACAUUCAAAGGCUGUGCCAUGUGGCGAAAUGCAGGAAUAACGUAUUUAGAAUAUUUAACUAGAAUGUCAAGCAUCUUCUCAAAAUGUAUCAAACCAUCAAAACAAAUGAAUUGUAAAAAACCAGCAACUUUACAUUUUAAAGAAAAAAUUUCCGCUUUGGAAACAUACAUUCACACAGAUGUUUCGGAAGCAUUUUUGGGUAAAAAAUGAACAGGAAUGAAUGAGUUAUAGCCAUAGAAGAUAUUGAAAAUUUAAACGGCACCAUUUGUUAUAUUUUGAAGUUUGCAAUUUUUCUAGUAAAAUUUCGUAUGCAAA